GUCUCCCAAUUUGUUCAUCAUCGUCAAGCCCUCCCAAUCGUCCAAACUCUCCAGACGUCUUCAACCCCCUAACCCAAAAAUCAUCCACCAACUAAAUAUUAAAGCCCACCACCACCACCACCACAGCCAGCCAUGAUGAAGAUUAGAUCAUCCAAAUUGAACCUUAGAUUACGGUCAAAUUAAAACCCCAAUUGCUACUUUCUUCCCAAUUAAAACCCAAAAAAUUAAAAUUAUUCCCCACUGUAAGAUAAAGGUGAAGAAACCGUACUGAGAAGCCAUUAACAAGGCUGACGGCAUGGGAAGAGGCUGGAGAGGUCAGAGUGGCCGUGGUGGAGGAGAACUGGGCAAGGGUGGCUGGGGUGAUAGCGCCGUGGCCUCGCAUAUGAUGUUGUUGUCGAAGGCUUCAAAAAUGUAUGUGGCAAUUUAAGUUGGGUAUGUGGGCAUAAUUUUUCGACACCCAGUUUGUGAUUGCAGUCCUAAUUUGGUUAAUGAAUAUAUUGGGAUGAUUUUGAGAAAAUCCUAAUAUGAAGAUGAAAGAUGAAACGUUUGGUGGGUAUUUCGCGAAAUGGGCAGAUUAUGGGAGAGGAUGGAGAGGUUUGGUGUGGAAGUAACAUUGAGUACACAGAUUUUGCAGUUUUCAACUACAACAAGACUCAAAUUUUUUAUUUUUUAUUUUUGCUUAAAGGAGAUAUGCAUAUUACAAUCUCCAUUGAAGGAGAGAUUGAUUAUGAAGUUAAUGGGUAGUAAAUUGAGGUUGAUAAUUUAUAAAAUAAAGUUUUUCUUUCCUUA
RNAcentral lists this long non-coding RNA (789 nucleotides) under Panax ginseng (ginseng). RNAcentral's name for it is "long non-coding RNA (PGIN_LNC016942)". Lineage: Eukaryota; Viridiplantae; Streptophyta; Magnoliopsida; Apiales; Araliaceae. The record is from RNAcentral.